Acanthosepion pharaonis is the source of this 95-nucleotide non-coding RNA. The record is from the annotation of a GenBank genome assembly. Lineage: Eukaryota; Metazoa; Mollusca; Cephalopoda; Sepiida; Sepiidae.
UUACGACCAUAUCACUUUGAAACACCGGUUCUCGUACGAUCACCGACGUUAAGCAACAUUGAGCUUGGUCAGUACCUAGAUGGGUGAUCGCUUGU